CCUACGGGUGGCAGCAGUGGGGAAUAUUGGACAAUGGGGGCAACCCUGAUCCAGCCAUGCCGCGUGUGUGAAGAAGGCCCUCGGGUUGUAAAGCACUUUCAGUGAGGAAGAACGCCUGGUGGUUAAUACCCAUCAGGAAAGACAUCACUCACAGAAGAAGCGCCGGCUAACUCCGUGCCAGCAGCCGCGGUAAUACGGAGGGUGCGAGCGUUAAUCGGAAUUACUGGGCGUAAAGCGCGCGUAGGUGGCUUGAUAAGCCGGUUGUGAAAGCCCCGGGCUCAACCUGGGAACGGCAUCCGGAACUGUCAAGCUAGAGUGCAGGAGAGGAAGGUAGAAUUCCCGGUGUAGCGGUGAAAUGCGUAGAGAUCGGGAGGAAUACCAGUGGCGAAGGCGGCCUUCUGGACUGACACUGACACUGAGGUGCGAAAGCGUGGGUAGCAAACAGGAUUAGAUACCCGGGUAGUC
Molecule: ribosomal RNA, 465 nt
Filed under: Vreelandella stevensii
Lineage: Bacteria; Pseudomonadati; Pseudomonadota; Gammaproteobacteria; Oceanospirillales; Halomonadaceae
Description: partial 16S ribosomal RNA
Rfam family: Bacterial small subunit ribosomal RNA
Source: RNAcentral